ACGUGCCCUGUAGUGGGGGAUAACUAGUCGAAAGACUAGCUAAUACCGCAUACGACCUGAGGGUGAAAGUGGGGGACCGCAAGGCCUCAUGCUAUAGGAGCGGCCGAUGUCUGAUUAGCUAGUUGGUGGGGUAAAGGCCCACCAAGGCGACGAUCAGUAGCUGGUCUGAGAGGACGAUCAGCCACACUGGGACUGAGACACGGCCCAAACUCCUACGGGAGGCAGCAGUG
Molecule: ribosomal RNA, 230 nt
Filed under: Ralstonia solanacearum
Lineage: Bacteria; Pseudomonadati; Pseudomonadota; Betaproteobacteria; Burkholderiales; Burkholderiaceae
Description: partial 16S ribosomal RNA
Rfam family: Bacterial small subunit ribosomal RNA
Source: RNAcentral